AAACCAUGCAAUGGGCAUUUCAUAAUUAACUCCGUGAAUCACUUCCAUGCUUCAUAUAAUGUUUCAUCCUCAGAUUUCCAAAAGGACAUAGUAUCUUUCCUCAAUUU
Gossypium arboreum is the source of this 107-nucleotide small nucleolar RNA. It matches the Rfam family "Plant small nucleolar RNA R71". Rfam says of the family: R71 is a member of the C/D box family of snoRNAs containing the C (UGAUGA) and D (CUGA) box motifs. Multiple nearly identical copies of this snoRNA have been identified in Arabidopsis, and it is thought to function as a 2'-O-ribose methylation guide for 18S ribosomal RNA. The record is from Rfam. NCBI's taxonomy places the organism in Eukaryota, Viridiplantae, Streptophyta, Magnoliopsida, Malvales, Malvaceae.